AAUGAACGCUGGCGGCAUGCCUAACACAUGCAAGUCGAACGAAGGCCCGAUUUCGGUUGGGUCCUUAGUGGCGCACGGGUGCGUAACGCGUGGGAAUCUGCCCCUUGGUUCGGAAUAACAGUUAGAAAUGACUGCUAAUACCGGAUGAUGACGUAAGUCCAAAGAUUUAUCGCCGAGGGAUGAGCCCGCGUAGGAUUAGCUAGUUGGUGUGGUAAGAGCGCACCAAGGCGACGAUCCUUAGCUGGUCUGAGAGGAUGAUCAGCCACACUGGGACUGAGACACGGCCCAGACUCCUACGGGAGGCAGCAGUGGGGAAUAUUGGACAAUGGGCGAAAGCCUGAUCCAGCAAUGCCGCGUGAGUGAUGAAGGCCUUAGGGUUGUAGAGCUCUUUUACCCGGGAUGAUAAUGACAGUACCGGGAGAAUAAGCUCCGGCUAACUCCGUGCCAGCAGCCGCGGUAAUACGGAGGGAGCCAGCGUUAUUCGGAAUUACUGGGCGUAAAGCGCACGUAGGCGGCUUUGUAAGUAAGAGGUGAAAGCCCAGAGCUCAACUCUGGAAUUGCCUUUUAGACUGCAUCGCUUGAAUCAUGGAGAGGUCAGUGGAAUUCCGAGUGUAGAGGUGAAAUUCGUAGAUAUUCGGAAGAACACCAGUGGCGAAGGCGGCUGACUGGACAUGUAUUGACGCUGAGGUGCGAAAGCGUGGGGAGCAAACAGGGAUUAGAUACCCUGAUAGUCCACGCCGUAAACGAUGAUAACUAGCUGUCCGG
RNAcentral lists this ribosomal RNA (765 nucleotides) under uncultured bacterium. RNAcentral's name for it is "bacterial SSU rRNA". It matches the Rfam family "Bacterial small subunit ribosomal RNA", at positions 28 to 827 of the family's 1533-position model. The record is from RNAcentral.